Molecule: long non-coding RNA, 263 nt
Organism: Xenopus laevis (African clawed frog)
Lineage: Eukaryota; Metazoa; Chordata; Amphibia; Anura; Pipidae
Exons: 3
Source: RefSeq, a predicted model, not a curated record
UCCGUCUAUCCACUGACCAACCUAUGUAUUUUCUUCUAUCAUUCAGUUCCAUGUAGCUGCUCACAGAAUCUGAUCAGCAGACCAAUAAGCUUGUUACACAGGCCAAUCUCUCCUGCGCUGUGAUACACCCCGAUGGUAUACUCCUGAUGCACGCUGGUUAAUCUUUCCGGUCAGAGCAGAGUUUUCUAAAAGAAAAGGAACAUAUGCCCUUGGGAAAGAACACCUGGGGGAUAUUCCAAAAUAAAGAUGCAGUUCUGCAGCAG